RNAcentral lists this transfer RNA (77 nucleotides) under Actinopolyspora saharensis. RNAcentral's name for it is "tRNA_Leu_TAA". It matches the Rfam family "tRNA". From Rfam's summary of the family: Transfer RNA (tRNA) molecules are approximately 80 nucleotides in length. Lineage: Bacteria; Bacillati; Actinomycetota; Actinomycetes; Actinopolysporales; Actinopolysporaceae. The record is from RNAcentral.
GCCCCCGUAGCCCAAUGGGCAGAGGCAGACGACUUAAAAUCGUCGUAGUGUCGGUUCGAGUCCGACCGGGGGCACCG